RNAcentral lists this ribosomal RNA (453 nucleotides) under uncultured bacterium. RNAcentral's name for it is "bacterial SSU rRNA". It matches the Rfam family "Bacterial small subunit ribosomal RNA", at positions 29 to 524 of the family's 1533-position model. The record is from RNAcentral.
AGCGAACGCUGGCGGCAGGCCUAACACAUGCAAGUCGAACGCGUGUAGCAAUACACGAGUGGCAGACGGGUGAGUAACACGUGGGAACGUACCUUUCGGUUCGGAAUAACUCAGGGAAACUUGUGCUAAUACCGGAUACGCCUUUACGGGGAAAGAUUCAUCGCCGAAAGAUCGGCCCGCGUCUGAUUAGCUUGUUGGUGAGGUAACGGCUCACCAAGGCGACGAUCAGUAGCNGGUCUGAGAGGAUGAUCAGCCACAUUGGGACUGAGACACGGCCCAAACUCCUACGGGAGGCAGCAGUGGGGAAUAUUGGACAAUGGGCGAAAGCCUGAUCCAGCCAUGCCGCGUGAGUGAUGAAGGCCCUAGGGUUGUAAAGCUCUUUCGGCGGGGGACGAUAAUGACGGUACCCGCAGAAGAAGCCCCGGCUAACUUCGUGCCAGCCGCCGCCGUAAU